CGGUCGUUUAAUACUCGGGAGAAUGUGGAGGAGGCGAUGAGACGGAUUGUGGAGAAGUUUAAGGUGUAAAAGGGCAGAGGGAAUUCCAGGUGUAGCGGUGAAAUGCGUAGAGAUCUGGAGGAAUACCGAUGGCGAAGGCAGCCUUCUGGCAUAAUACUGACACUGAGGCUCGAAAGCGUGGGUAGCAAACAGGAUUAGAUACCCUGGUAGUCCACGCCGUAAACGAUGUCUACUAGUCGUUGGGUCCCUUGAGGACUUAGUGACGCAGCUAACGCAAUAAGUAGACCGCCUGGGGAGUACGGCCGCAAGGUUAAAACUCAAAUGAAUUGACGGGGGCCCGCACAAGCGGUGGAGCAUGUGGUUUAAUUCGAUGCAACGCGAAGAACCUUACCUGGUCUUGACAUAUCUAGAAUCCUGCAGAGAUGCGGGAGUGCCUUCGGGAAUUAGAAUACAGGUGCUGCAUGGCUGUCGUCAGCUCGUGUCGUGAGAUGUUGGGUUAAGUCCCGCAACGAGCGCAACCCUUGUCCUUAGUUACC
This 536-nucleotide ribosomal RNA is filed under the name uncultured Psychrobacter sp. Its description in RNAcentral is "bacterial SSU rRNA". It matches the Rfam family "Bacterial small subunit ribosomal RNA", at positions 589 to 1119 of the family's 1533-position model. Lineage: Bacteria; Pseudomonadati; Pseudomonadota; Gammaproteobacteria; Moraxellales; Moraxellaceae. The record is from RNAcentral.